RNAcentral lists this ribosomal RNA (355 nucleotides) under uncultured marine eukaryote. Its description in RNAcentral is "SSU rRNA". It matches the Rfam family "Eukaryotic small subunit ribosomal RNA", at positions 1 to 360 of the family's 1831-position model. The record is from RNAcentral.
AACCUGGUUGAUCCUGCCAGUAGUCAUAUGCUUGUCUCAAAGACUAAGCCAUGCAUGUCUAAGUAUAAAUGCUAUACAAUGAAACUGCGAAUGGCUCAUUAAAACAGUUAUAGUUUAUAUGGUAAUCGAAUUUACAUGGAUAACCGUGGUAAUUCUAGACGCUAAUACAUGCUGUUAAGCCCAACUUAUGGAAGGGCCGUAUUUAUUAGAUAACAGACCAAUAUUCUUCGUGUCUAUUGUGGUGAAUCAUAGUAACUAAUCGGAUCGUAUGGGCUAGUCCCUCGACAAACCAUUCAAGUUUCUGCCCCAUCAGCUUUCGAUGGUAGUGUAUUGGACUACCAUGGCUUUCACGGGU